GACGAACGCUGGCGGCGUGGAUUAGGCAUGCAAGUCGAACGGUAUCAGUCCUUUCGGGGGUGAGAGAGUGGCGAACUGGUGAGUAACACGUAGGUUAUCUACCCUCGAAGACGGGGACAACCCAGGGGAAACUUGGGCUAAUACCGGAUGUGAGCAACUUUUAGUUGUUUGAAAGGUGGCGUAAGCUGUCGCUUGGGGAUGAGCCUGCGUCCUAUUAGUUAGUUGGUGAGAUAACGGCUCACCUAGGCAAUGAUAGGUAGGCGGCCUUAACGGGUGGUCGCCCACACUGGGAUUGAGAUACGGCCCAGACUCCUACGGGAGGCAGCAGUAAGGAAUAUUGGGCAAUGGUCGAAAGACUGACCCAGCCAUGCCGCGUGCAGGAUGAAGGCCCUAUGGGUUGUAAACUGCUUUUAGCCGGGAAUAAACACCCGUUUUAUAACGGGCCCGAAGGUACCGGCUGAAUAAGCAUCGGCUAACUCCGUG
This 483-nucleotide ribosomal RNA is filed under the name uncultured bacterium. RNAcentral's name for it is "bacterial SSU rRNA". It matches the Rfam family "Bacterial small subunit ribosomal RNA", at positions 28 to 507 of the family's 1533-position model. The record is from RNAcentral.